Molecule: ribosomal RNA, 1710 nt
Filed under: Clostridium saccharobutylicum
Lineage: Bacteria; Bacillati; Bacillota; Clostridia; Eubacteriales; Clostridiaceae
Description: partial 23S ribosomal RNA
Rfam family: Bacterial large subunit ribosomal RNA
Source: RNAcentral
GGUCAAGCUACAAAGGGCGCAUGGUGAAUGCCUUGGCAUCAGGAGCCGAUGAAGGACGCGAUAAGCUGCGAUAAGCUUCGGGUAGACGCACAUAGUCAGAGAUCCGAAGAUUUCCGAAUGAGGAAACUCACAUGGGAAACCCCAUGUAUCAUAAAGUGAAUACAUAGCUUUAUGAAGGUAAACCCAGGGAACUGAAACAUCUAAGUACCUGGAGGAAGAGAAAGAAAAAUCGAUUUUCUUAGUAGCGGCGAGCGAAAAGGAAAGAGCCCAAACCAGAGAUUUAUCUCUGGGGUUGCGGACAGAACAUAACGAGAAAUCAUAGUUAACCGAACACAACUGGAAAGUUGGACCGCAGGGGGUAAUAGUCCCGUAAGUGAAAAUUAUGAUAAUCAGUUCUGCACCAGAGUACCACGAGACACGUGAAACCUUGUGGGAAGCAGGGAGGACCACCUCCCAAGGCUAAAUACUACCUGAUGACCGAUAGUGAAGCAGUACCGUGAGGGAAAGGUGAAAAGAACCCCGGGAGGGGAGUGAAAUAGAACCUGAAACCAUGUGCCUACAACCGAUCAAAGCACCUUAUGUGUGUGAUGAUGUGCUUUUUGUAGAACGAGCCAACGAGUUACGGUAUGUAGCGAGGUUAAGUACUUAAGGUACGGAGCCGAAGGGAAACCGAGUCUUAAUAGGGCGACUAGUUGCAUGCUGUAGACCCGAAACCGGGUGACCUAUCCAUGGCCAGGUUGAAGCGAGGGUAAAACCUCGUGGAGGACCGAACCACGUUGCUGUUGAAAAAGCAUGGGAUGAGCUGUGGAUAGCGGAGAAAUUCCAAUCGAACUCGGAUAUAGCUGGUUCUCCUCGAAAUAGCUUUAGGGCUAGCGUCGGAAAAUGUGAGUAGUGGAGGUAGAGCACUGAAUAGGCUAGGGGGCAUAGCGCUUACCGAACCUUAUCAAACUCCGAAUGCCAUAUACUAUCAGUCCGGCAGUCAGACUAUGAAAGAUAAGUUCCAUGGUCAAAAGGGAAACAGCCCAGAUCGUCAGCUAAGGUCCCAAAGUGUAAGUUAAGUGGAAAAGGAUGUGGGAUUUCUAAGACAACUAGGAUGUUGGCUUAGAAGCAGCCACUCAUUAAAAGAGUGCGUAAUAGCUCACUAGUCAAGAGAUCCUGCGCCGAAAAUGUCCGGGGCUCAAACUUACCACCGAAGCUACGGGUUCACAAUUUAUUGUGAGCGGUAGAGGAGCGUCGUAAUCGGGCUGAAGUCGUACCGAAAGGAGCGGUGGACUGAUUACGAGUGAGAAUGUUGGCAUUAGUAGCGAGAUGUAGGUGAGAAUCCUACAGGCCGAAUAUCUAAGGUUUCCUGAGUAAAGUUUGUCUUCUCAGGGUUAGUCGGGACCUAAGGCGAGGCCGAAAGGCGUAGUCGAUGGACAAUUGGUUGAUAUUCCAAUACCACUAUAAUCGUUAUUAUCGAUGGUGUGACGGAGAAGGAUAGGAUGUGCUAACUAUUGGAUGUUAGUCUAAGCGUUUAGGGAGUUAGGAUAGGCAAAUCCGUUCUAACAAUUCUGAGGCGUGAUGGGGAAGGUUCUACGGAACCGAAGUAUCUGAUUCCAUGCUUCCAAGAAAAGCAUCUAGAGAGAGAAGUAGUGCCCGUACCGCAAACCGACACAGGUAGAUGAGGAGAGAAUCCUAAGGCCGACGGAAGAAUUGCAGUUAAGGAACUAG